RNAcentral lists this ribosomal RNA (465 nucleotides) under uncultured bacterium. RNAcentral's name for it is "partial 16S ribosomal RNA". It matches the Rfam family "Bacterial small subunit ribosomal RNA", at positions 29 to 508 of the family's 1533-position model. The record is from RNAcentral.
ACGAACGCUGGCGGCGUGCUUAACACAUGCAAGUCGAACGGAAAGGCCCUGCUUGCAGGGUACUCGAGUGGCGAACGGGUGAGUAACACGUGGGUGAUCUGCCCUGCACUUCGGGAUAAGCCUGGGAAACUGGGUCUAAUACCGGAUAGGAGCCAUUUUUAGUGUGAUGGUUGGAAAGUUUUUUCGGUGUAGGAUGAGCUCGCGGCCUAUCAGCUUGUUGGUGGGGUAAUGGCCUACCAAGGCGGCGACGGGUAGCCGGCCUGAGAGGGUGGACGGCCACAUUGGGACUGAGAUACGGCCCAGACUCCUACGGGAGGCAGCAGUGGGGAAUAUUGCACAAUGGGCGCAAGCCUGAUGCAGCGACGCCGCGUGGGGGAUGACGGCCUUCGGGUUGUAAACUCCUGUCGCUAGGGACGAAGCUUUUUGUGACGGUACCUAGAUAAGAAGCACCGGCUAACUACGUGC